This 492-nucleotide ribosomal RNA is filed under the name uncultured bacterium. RNAcentral's name for it is "partial 16S ribosomal RNA". It matches the Rfam family "Bacterial small subunit ribosomal RNA", at positions 29 to 507 of the family's 1533-position model. The record is from RNAcentral.
AGUGAACGCUGGCGGUAGGCCUAACACAUGCAAGUCGAACGGCAGCACAGUAAGAGCUUGCUCUUACGGGUGGCGAGUGGCGGACGGGUGAGGAAUACAUCGGAAUCUACUUUUUCGUGGGGGAUAACGUAGGGAAACUUACGCUAAUACCGCAUACGACCUACGGGUGAAAGCGGGGGAUCUUCGGACCUUGCGCGAUUGAAUGAGCCGAUGUCGGAUUAGCUAGUUGGCGGGGUAAAGGCCCACCAAGGCGACGAUCCGUAGCUGGUCUGAGAGGAUGAUCAGCCACACUGGAACUGAGACACGGUCCAGACCCCUACGGGAGGCAGCAGUGGGGAAUAUUGGACAAUGGGCGCAAGCCUGAUCCAGCCAUACCGCGUGGGUGAAGAAGGCCUUCGGGUUGUAAAGCCCUUUUGUUGGGAAAGAAAAGCAGCAGGUUAAUACCCCGCUGUUCUGACGGUACCCAAAGAAUAAGCACCGGCUAACUUCGUG